UUAAACUGAAGAGUUUGAUCCUGGCUCAGAUUGAACGCUGGCGGCAUGCCUUACACAUGCAAGUCGAACGGCAGCACGGAGCUUGCUCUGGUGGCGAGUGGCGAACGGGUGAGUAAUAUAUCGGAACGUACCCUAGAGUGGGGGAUAACGUAGCGAAAGUUACGCUAAUACCGCAUACGAUCUAAGGAUGAAAGUGGGGGAUCGCAAGACCUCAUGCUCGUGGAGCGGCCGAUAUCUGAUUAGCUAGUUGGUAGGGUAAAAGCCUACCAAGGCAUCGAUCAGUAGCUGGUCUGAGAGGACGACCAGCCACACUGGAACUGAGACACGGUCCAGACUCCUACGGGAGGCAGCAGUGGGGAAUUUUGGACAAUGGGCGAAAGCCUGAUCCAGCAAUGCCGCGUGAGUGAAGAAGGCCUUCGGGUUGUAAAGCUCUUUUGUCAGGGAAGAAACGGUGAGAGCUAAUAUCUUUUGCUAAUGACGGUACCUGAAGAAUAAGCACCGGCUAACUACGUGCCAGCAGCCGCGGUAAUACGUAGGGUGCAAGCGUUAAUCGGAAUUACUGGGCGUAAAGCGUGCGCAGGCGGUUUUGUAAGUCUGAUGUGAAAUCCCCGGGCUCAACCUGGGAAUUGCAUUGGAGACUGCAAGGCUAGAAUCUGGCAGAGGGGGGUAGAAUUCCACGUGUAGCAGUGAAAUGCGUAGAUAUGUGGAGGAACACCGAUGGCGAAGGCAGCCCCCUGGGUUAAGAUUGACGCUCAUGCACGAAAGCGUGGGGAGCAAACAGGAUUAGAUACCCUGGUAGUCCACGCCCUAAACGAUGUCUACUAGUUGUCGGGUCUUAAUUGACUUGGUAACGCAGCUAACGCGUGAAGUAGACCGCCUGGGGAGUACGGUCGCAAGAUUAAAACUCAAAGGAAUUGACGGGGACCCGCACAAGCGGUGGAUGAUGUGGAUUAAUUCGAUGCAACGCGAAAAACCUUACCUACCCUUGACAUGGCUGGAAUCCUUGAGAGAUCAGGGAGUGCUCGAAAGAGAGCCAGUACACAGGUGCUGCAUGGCUGUCGUCAGCUCGUGUCGUGAGAUGUUGGGUUAAGUCCCGCAACGAGCGCAACCCUUGUCAUUAGUUGCUACGAAAGGGCACUCUAAUGAGACUGCCGGUGACAAACCGGAGGAAGGUGGGGAUGACGUCAAGUCCUCAUGGCCCUUAUGGGUAGGGCUUCACACGUCAUACAAUGGUACAUACAGAGCGCCGCCAACCCGCGAGGGGGAGCUAAUCGCAGAAAGUGUAUCGUAGUCCGGAUUGUAGUCUGCAACUCGACUGCAUGAAGUUGGAAUCGCUAGUAAUCGCGGAUCAGCAUGUCGCGGUGAAUACGUUCCCGGGUCUUGUACACACCGCCCGUCACACCAUGGGAGCGGGUUUUACCAGAAGUAGGUAGCUUAACCGCAAGGAGGGCGCUUACCACGGUAGGAUUCGUGACUGGGGUGAAGUCGUAACAAGGUAGCCGUAUCGGAAGGUGCGGCUGGAUCACCUCCUUUCU
This 1535-nucleotide ribosomal RNA is filed under the name Janthinobacterium sp. 35. Its description in RNAcentral is "bacterial SSU rRNA". It matches the Rfam family "Bacterial small subunit ribosomal RNA". The record is from RNAcentral. Lineage: Bacteria; Pseudomonadati; Pseudomonadota; Betaproteobacteria; Burkholderiales; Oxalobacteraceae.